GUGAGGAAUAUUGGUCAAUGGGCGAGAGCCUGAACCAGCCAAGUAGCGUGAAGGAUGACCGCCCUAUGGGUUGUAAACUUCUUUUAUAUGGGAAUAAAGGGUGCCACGUGUGGCAUUUUGUAUGUACCAUAUGAAUAAGGAUCGGCUAACUCCGUGCCAGCAGCCGCGGUAAUACGGAGGAUCCGAGCGUUAUCCGGAUUUAUUGGGUUUAAAGGGAGCGUAGGUGGACAUGUAAGUCAGUUGUGAAAGUUUGCGGCUCAACCGUAAAAUUGCAGUUGAAACUGCGUGUCUUGAGUACAGUAGAGGUGGGCGGAAUUCGUGGUGUAGCGGUGAAAUGCUUAGAUAUCACGAAGAACUCCGAUUGCGAAGGCAGCUCACUGGACUGCAACUGACACUGAUGCUCGAAAGUGUGGGUAUCAAACAGGAUUAGAAACCCGAGUAGUCC
This 445-nucleotide ribosomal RNA is filed under the name uncultured bacterium. RNAcentral describes it as "bacterial SSU rRNA". It matches the Rfam family "Bacterial small subunit ribosomal RNA", at positions 354 to 796 of the family's 1533-position model. The record is from RNAcentral.